GGCCCCGUAGCUCAAUUGGAUAGAGCGGCAGCCUCCGGAGCUGCAGGCUACUGGUUCGAGCCCAGUCGGGGUCACCA
Molecule: transfer RNA, 77 nt
Filed under: Roseiflexus castenholzii
Lineage: Bacteria; Bacillati; Chloroflexota; Chloroflexia; Chloroflexales; Roseiflexaceae
Also listed under: 5 other names
Description: tRNA-Arg
Rfam family: tRNA
About the family: Transfer RNA (tRNA) molecules are approximately 80 nucleotides in length. Their secondary structure includes four short double-helical elements and three loops (D, anti-codon, and T loops).
Source: RNAcentral